This 568-nucleotide ribosomal RNA is filed under the name uncultured Kotlabaea. RNAcentral's name for it is "partial 18S ribosomal RNA". The stretch from base 202 to 355 matches the Rfam family "5.8S ribosomal RNA". Lineage: Eukaryota; Fungi; Ascomycota; Pezizomycetes; Pezizales; Pyronemataceae. The record is from RNAcentral.
CAUUAAAAGUAAUAUGUAUUCUCACGAAUAUACAUUAUAAACCCAUCUGUGUAUCUUACCUGUUGCUUCCGCGAGCCAGUGAUCUCGGUCACCUCCGCGGGAUGGCGAAGGCCAUCCCUCCCGGGGAGCACUCGCGGGAGGUAUACAUCAAACUCUUGCAUUUUUAUGUCAUCUGUCUGAACUGUUUAUAACAAAUGUUAAAACUUUCAACAACGGAUCUCUUGGUUCUCGCAUCGAUGAAGAACGCAGCGAAAUGCGAUAAGUAGUGUGAAUUGCAGAAUUCAGUGAAUCAUCGAAUCUUUGAACGCACAUUGCGCCUCCUGGUAUUCCGGGAGGCAUGCCUGUUCGAGCGUCAUUAAAAACCACUCAAGCUCUUUUGCUUGGUAUUGGGAGAGGAGUGCAAUCGUUGCCCUCCCUUCCGAAAUUCAAUGGCGGAAAGCCCCAUGUGCCCCGGCGUAGUAAGUUUUCUUUCGCUUGGAACGUGAGGUGAUCCUGCCGCAAACCCCCAAUUCUUUCUAGGUUGACCUCGGAUCAGGUAGGGAUACCCGCUGAACUUAAGCAUAUCAUA